This 620-nucleotide ribosomal RNA is filed under the name uncultured Candidatus Poseidoniales archaeon. RNAcentral describes it as "bacterial SSU rRNA". It matches the Rfam family "Archaeal small subunit ribosomal RNA", at positions 1 to 627 of the family's 1478-position model. Lineage: Archaea; Methanobacteriati; Thermoplasmatota; Candidatus Poseidoniia; Candidatus Poseidoniales. The record is from RNAcentral.
UUCUGGUUGAUCCUGCCGGAGGCGACCGCUAUUGGAGUUCGAUUAAGCCAUGCGAGUCGCGAGAAAUUAGAUUCUCGGCGUACCGCUCAGUAACACGUGGAUAACCUGCCCUGUUCAGGGGGAUAACCUCGCGAAAGUGAGAAUAAUACCCCAUAGUUCACCAUGCCUGGAACGGUUGGUGGAUGAAAGCUACGGCGGAACAGGAUGGGUCUGCGGCGUAUCAGGUUGUAGGGGGUGUAAUGGACCUCCUAGCCAUCGACGCGUACGGGUUGUGGGAGCAAUCGCCCGGAGAUGGAUUCUGAGACACGAAUCCAGACCCCACGGGGUGCAGCAGGCGCGAAAACUUGACAAUGCGAGAAAUCGUGGUCAGGGAACUCCAAUUAACGCAGUUUUUACUGUUGUCUGAACCGACUCUAAAUAGGUCGGGUAAUAGGGGCGGGAAAUAUCGGUGCCAGCCGCCGCGGUAAUACCGAAGCCCCAAGUGGUCGUCGAUCUUAUUGGGCCUAAAACGUCCGUAGCCGGUUUGGUACAUUCGUGGGUAAAUCAGACAGCUUAACUGUCUGAAUUCUGCGAGGACGGCCAAACUUGAGACCGGGUGAGGUGUAGGGUACCUGCGGGGU